GGCAGGAGCUCAAAUUCGAAAUCUGGGGUCCCCCGACCUCCGAGUUGUAAUUUGGAGAGGCAUCUUCGGGGGGGAGCGCCGGCCCAUGUUCCUUGGAACAGGACGUCGCAGAGGGUGAGAAUCCCGUGCCAGGCCGGCUGCCUCCUCCCGGGUGAAGGGCCUUCGACGAGUCGAGUUGUUUGGGAAUGCAGCUCCAAGUGGGUGGUAAAUUUCAUCUAAAGCUAAAUACCGGCGGGAGACCGAUAGCGCACAAGUAGAGUGAUCGAAAGAUGAAAAGCACUUUGAAAAUAGAGUCAAAAAGUACGUGAAAUUGUUGAAAGGGAAGCGCUUGAGACCAGACUCGGGCCCGGGCGAACAUCGCGCCCCUCGGGGCCGUGCGAUCGCCCGGGCCUGGGCCAGCAUCAGUUGGCGUGGCGGGACAAAGGCGCGGGGAAUGUGGCUCCCCUCGGGGAGUGUUAUUAGGCCCGCGCUCAAUGCCGCCGACGCCGACUGAGGACCGCGCCUCGGCUUGGAUGCUGGCUUAAUGGCCUUCAGCGACCCGUCUUGAAACACGGACCAAGGAGUCUAACAUCUAUGCGAGUGUUUGGGCGUCAAACCCUUGCGCGGAAUGAAAGUGAGCGGAGGUGGAACCCCCCCCUGCGGGGCGCACCAUCGACCGAUCCUGAUGUCUUCGGAUGGAUUUGAGUAGGAGCAUA
This 695-nucleotide ribosomal RNA is filed under the name Helvella bresadolae. RNAcentral describes it as "Helvella sp. IS-2023a partial large subunit ribosomal RNA". It matches the Rfam family "Eukaryotic large subunit ribosomal RNA", at positions 100 to 804 of the family's 3401-position model. The record is from RNAcentral. Lineage: Eukaryota; Fungi; Ascomycota; Pezizomycetes; Pezizales; Helvellaceae.